This 470-nucleotide ribosomal RNA is filed under the name Streptococcus mitis. Its description in RNAcentral is "bacterial SSU rRNA". It matches the Rfam family "Bacterial small subunit ribosomal RNA", at positions 28 to 483 of the family's 1533-position model. Lineage: Bacteria; Bacillati; Bacillota; Bacilli; Lactobacillales; Streptococcaceae. The record is from RNAcentral.
GACGAACGCUGGCGGCGUGCCUAAUACAUGCAAGUAGAACGCUGAAGGAGGAGCUUGCUCUUCUGGAUGAGUUGCGAACGGGUGAGUAACGCGUAGGUAACCUGCCUGGUAGCGGGGGAUAACUAUUGGAAACGAUAGCUAAUACCGCAUAACAGUAGAUGUUGCAUGACAUUUACUUAAAAGGUGCAAUUGCAUCACUACCAGAUGGACCUGCGUUGUAUUAGCUAGUUGGUGGGGUAACGGCUCACCAAGGCGACGAUACAUAGCCGACCUGAGAGGGUGAUCGGCCACACUGGGACUGAGACACGGCCCAGACUCCUACGGGAGGCAGCAGUAGGGAAUCUUCGGCAAUGGACGGAAGUCUGACCGAGCAACGCCGCGUGAGUGAAGAAGGUUUUCGGAUCGUAAAGCUCUGUUGUAAGAGAAGAACGAGUGUGAGAGUGGAAAGUUCACACUGUGACGGAUCUACC